RNAcentral lists this ribosomal RNA (254 nucleotides) under uncultured bacterium. RNAcentral's name for it is "partial 16S ribosomal RNA". It matches the Rfam family "Bacterial small subunit ribosomal RNA", at positions 524 to 777 of the family's 1533-position model. The record is from RNAcentral.
UACGUAGGGGGCAAGCGUUGUCCGGAAUCAUUGGGCGUAAAGAGCGUGUAGGCGGCCCGAUAAGUCCGCUGUGAAAGUCAGGGGCUCAACCCUUGAAAGCCGGCCGAUACUGUCGGACUAGAGUCCGGAAGAGGCAAGUGGAAUUCCCGGUGUAGCGGUGAAAUGCGCAGAUAUCGGGAGGAACACCAAUGGCGAAGGCAGCUUGCUGGGACGGUACUGACGCUGAGGCGCGAAAGCGUGGGGAGCAAACAGGG